GCUUCAGUGGCUCAAUUGGUAGAGCAGGACUCUUGUAAAGUUCAGGUUGCAAGUUCAAAUCUUGUCUGAAGCUCCA
Molecule: transfer RNA, 76 nt
Filed under: Caudoviricetes sp.
Lineage: Duplodnaviria; Heunggongvirae; Uroviricota; Caudoviricetes
Description: tRNA-Thr
Rfam family: tRNA
About the family: Transfer RNA (tRNA) molecules are approximately 80 nucleotides in length. Their secondary structure includes four short double-helical elements and three loops (D, anti-codon, and T loops).
Source: RNAcentral